RNAcentral lists this ribosomal RNA (238 nucleotides) under uncultured bacterium. RNAcentral's name for it is "partial 16S ribosomal RNA". It matches the Rfam family "Bacterial small subunit ribosomal RNA", at positions 86 to 334 of the family's 1533-position model. The record is from RNAcentral.
CCCAGUCGAGCGGCGAACGGGUGAGUAACGCGUGGAUGACCUACCUUGGGGUGGGGGAUAACUCGGGGAAACUCGAGCUAAUACCGCAUACGAUCGUGAGAUCAAAGGGGCGCAAGUCCCGCCAUGAGAGGGGUCCGCGUACGAUUAGCUAGUUGGUAGGGUAAUGGCCUACCAAGGCGACGAUCGUUAGCCGGCCUGAGAGGGUGAUCGGCCACACUGGAACUGAGACACGGUCCAG